GUAACAUGGAUUGCUUGCAAUCUGAUGACGAGUGGCGCACGGGUGCGUAACGCGUAUGCAAUCUACCUUUUACAGGAGAAUAGCCCAGAGAAAUUUGGAAUAAUGCUCCAUAAUAUCAUUUAUCAGCAUUGGUUUAUGAUUAAAGCUCCGGUGGUAAAAGAUGAGCAUGCGUUCUAUUAGCUAGUAGGUGAGGUAACGGCUCACCUAGGCUACGAUAGAUAGGGGCCCUGAGAGGGGGAUCCCCCACACUGGUACUGAGACACGGACCAGACUCCUACGGGAGGCAGCAGUGAGGAAUAUUGGACAAUGGAGGAAACUCUGAUCCAGCCAUGCCGCGUGCAGGAUGACUGCCCUAUGGGUUGUAAACUGCUUUUAUAUAGGAAGAAACACUCCCACGUGUGGGGGCUUGACGGUACUAUAUGAAUAAGGAUCGGCUAACUCCGUGCCAGCAGCCGCGGUAAUACGGAGGAUCCAAGCGUUAUCCGGAAUCAUUGGGUUUAAAGGGUCCGCAGGCGGCCUGUUAAGUCAGAGGUGAAAUCCUACAGCUCAACUGUAGAACUGCCUUUGAUACUGAUAGGCUUGAGUUAUUGUGAAGUGGUUAGAAUGUGUGGUGUAGCGGUGAAAUGCUUAGAUAUCACACAGAAUACCCAUUGCGAAGGCAGAUCACUAACAAUAUACUGACGCUCAUGGACGAAAGCGUGGGGAGCGAACGGGAUUAGAUACCCCGGUAGUCCACGCCGUAAACGAUGGAUACUAACUGUUCGACCUUCGGGUUGAGUGGUCAAGCG
RNAcentral lists this ribosomal RNA (788 nucleotides) under uncultured marine bacterium. Its description in RNAcentral is "bacterial SSU rRNA". It matches the Rfam family "Bacterial small subunit ribosomal RNA", at positions 69 to 853 of the family's 1533-position model. The record is from RNAcentral.